ACCCGCCCCGCCCGCGUGGGCGCGGCUUCCCGGCCACAGGCUCGGGCGCCGUCGCCAACCUGGACGCCUGGACGGCGGCGGCCCCGGCGCUGCAGCCGAGCGAGGCUGUGGGAGCGGCUCACAGGAUCGUUUAGGACGCUCGACGUCGACAGCACUUGCCGAGAUCACGAGUGACCCGACAGCGGCCGCGCACCUCGCACGGUGCGGCCCGUGCGGGCCUGUAGGAGUUCGUUAGGAAUCGGGGAGGGCCUUAGCUGCGCACACGGAGGACGCGGCCACGAGCUCACUGCGACCCGCACAACCCUGAGGCGGCGCCCAGCGCGCCUACGCAGGUAGCGUGGCCGAGCGGUCUAAGGCGCUGGAUUAAGGCUCCAGUCUCUUCGGGGGCGUGGGUUCGAAUCCCACCGCUGCCAAGCCUAUUGCAGGUUGACACAAACUGGGAGCAGGACUCUCGAAAGCCUGCAGCAGGAACUCCAGAACGGCCCCAUCUUAUAAUAAAUAGGUGAAAGACAGCUGUGGUCUUUAAAGGGAACCUUUCUUUAAAGUUGUAUCCAAGGGGACAUUUUUAAAAUGUUUUCCACAGAAAUAGGUGGAACACACGGCUCGAAGUCAGCACGGUGAAUCCACUCAGCGGUCCGCGGUCCACACGGCUCGGCCGAGAGCUUCCUGGCAGCGCAGUUGCUGAAUCAAAUCCUGCGCGUGAGGGCUUCAGCCCCCUUCUGAGCGGCGACUCCCUCCCCCUCCCGCUGUGCCAGAAGUGUGCUUCCUCAGCACCCUGCCCGGCGCAGAGCACCGUAACAGGGACAGUUAUAUCCCACUGCGGCCCAGAGACUGGCGGAAGUUCUUUGCAUUGUCACAGCACACGCUCGGCAAUGCACGAGAAAACCCGCAUCAGUCUCCGUUUACAGAGCAGAAAAUGAGCUGCGAUCGCCCCUUGGAUUGAAGGUGGAGGAACAGAUGUCAGUGCCUGCGGCGGGCUGAAAAUGCCCCUUCCUCCAGGCACCUACAUUCCGGCUCUGGCUCCCGGAACCGUGAAUAUUACCGUACGUGGCAAAGCAAAAGAAAGCUAAACUGGAGCCGGACCCCGAGGUGGGACUGCUGGACCUGAACCUCGCGGGAAGCGUCGGUCAGAGGCGCAGCCUGGCUCACCCAGCCCCGCCGGGCAGGACAGGGUCCAGGCCUCAGGCACAGCCCUCUCCGCGGGGGUGGAGGCCAGCGCCGGGAUUCUGGACUUCCGGCCUCUAAAAUAUGAGUAAACAUAUUUCUUUUGCUUUAAGACAGCAAUUUUGUGGCAAUUUUUUAUAGAAGCCCCAGGACGGUAAUGCAACAUCUUU
This 1334-nucleotide transfer RNA is filed under the name Heterocephalus glaber (naked mole-rat). RNAcentral describes it as "lncRNA (ENSHGLG00100044572.1)". The stretch from base 332 to 413 matches the Rfam family "tRNA". Lineage: Eukaryota; Metazoa; Chordata; Mammalia; Rodentia; Bathyergidae. The record is from RNAcentral.